GUCAGUGUUUUAUUUGGAUCUUUGUUUCCACAGGAGCAGGAACAUUAGAAGCUGCUGGAGUAACUGCUGCUGUUCUCCUGCCUGUCAUAUUCUUCUCUGUCUUCCUGUGGAUUCAAAAAAAGAGGAUGUCCAAGGAACCUGUUAAAUCUGAAGACAGAGCCAACAACAGAGAACAGUGUUUACCUGAUCAGAGACAGC
Long non-coding RNA from Oreochromis niloticus (Nile tilapia), 198 nucleotides. RefSeq lists it as uncharacterized. The transcript has 3 exons. NCBI's taxonomy places the organism in Eukaryota, Metazoa, Chordata, Actinopteri, Cichliformes, Cichlidae. The record is from RefSeq and is a predicted model, not a curated record.